Small nuclear RNA from Onychomys torridus (southern grasshopper mouse), 135 nucleotides. RefSeq annotates it as U11 spliceosomal RNA. The record is from RefSeq and is a predicted model, not a curated record. The transcript has a single exon. Lineage: Eukaryota; Metazoa; Chordata; Mammalia; Rodentia; Cricetidae.
AAAAGGGGCUUCUGUCAGGAGUGGCACACGUAGGGCAAUUCAGUUGUUCUGCAUGUAGAAUCGACAUCAAGAGAUUUUGGAAGCCUGAUUUUUUGGUACCUCGGCAGCUGGUGAUUGUUGGUCCCCAAAACAAAC